This 72-nucleotide transfer RNA is filed under the name Sus scrofa (pig). It matches the Rfam family "tRNA". Rfam says of the family: Transfer RNA (tRNA) molecules are approximately 80 nucleotides in length. Their secondary structure includes four short double-helical elements and three loops (D, anti-codon, and T loops). Lineage: Eukaryota; Metazoa; Chordata; Mammalia; Artiodactyla; Suidae. The record is from Rfam by way of RNAcentral.
UCCCUGGUGGUCUAAUGGUUAGGAUUCAGUGCUUUCACCACUGCAGCCCAGGUUCAAACUCUGUUCUGGGAA